AUCUAUGGCCAUACCACCCUAAUGUGCUUGAUCUUGUCUGAUCUCAGAAGCUAAGCAGGGUCGGAUCUGGUUAGUACGUGGAUGGGAGAAUGACUGCACCUCCUCGUGCAAAGAAAGUGAGAGAGGUC
Ribosomal RNA from Nomascus leucogenys (northern white-cheeked gibbon), 128 nucleotides. The record is from Ensembl. NCBI's taxonomy places the organism in Eukaryota, Metazoa, Chordata, Mammalia, Primates, Hylobatidae.